RNAcentral lists this ribosomal RNA (248 nucleotides) under uncultured bacterium. RNAcentral's name for it is "partial 16S ribosomal RNA". The record is from RNAcentral.
GAUGAACGCUGGCGGCGUGCCUAAUACAUGCAAGUCGAGCGGUAAGGCUCCUGCAGAUUGUUUGAUGAAGCCAGGUCGCGAAAUUCUUUAGAAUUUCGCAUCACAACGAAGAAGAACGAUGACUAUCGUUCCGAAUGGGAGUGAAGUACCUGGUGUUUAACCUUCUUUUAAGAAGGCGAAAUCAAAUAAUGUGCUGGAGUACACGAGCGGCGGACGGCUGAGUAACACGUAGGAACGUACCCCAAACU